ACCGUUUUGUGGGGGGAACAGCGGGAGGGAU
This 31-nucleotide ribosomal RNA is filed under the name Monosporascus cannonballus. RNAcentral describes it as "partial 18S ribosomal RNA". The record is from RNAcentral. Lineage: Eukaryota; Fungi; Ascomycota; Sordariomycetes; Xylariales.